UUUAAGUGCAGUUUUAGGCUUCCAUGUCUAACAUUUGACUAUCCGUAUUAUUUGAAAUUUUUUAUGAUUAGUAUUUUUGUUAUUAUUAGAUGGCAGAUUAUGAAUAGUACUUUAUGUGUGACUCAUUUUUCUAGAUUUUUUCAUAAAUUUUUCAAAUAAAACGAAUGGUCAAACGUUUGAUAUGAAAACACAUGACUACACUUAAC
Non-coding RNA from Oryza glaberrima (African rice), 206 nucleotides. The record is from Rfam. Lineage: Eukaryota; Viridiplantae; Streptophyta; Magnoliopsida; Poales; Poaceae.